AGCUUCUGUGUCCUGAAUGUCCAGUUCCCAUCCUUUACAACGCAGAAAAGGCACCUGCUGCUUUGUGGAGCUGAUAUCUAGUUUCCCGGGCUCCCCUCCAUCGUCAGCAGCCACUGCCCGUGCAAAUGUCGGGGCCAGAAGUGGAAGAGGAACAAGAACAAGAAAGAAGAAACGGCAAAAGACCGUGCCAUCAACAUCCCCAAAAGUUUCUGAGGAGAACAACGAUAAAGAAACCAUGACCAAGUCUGCAUCCACCUCAUCAAGGCGGCUUGAGUCCACAUCAGUUACCAGUGCUGGCGCAACAGAAGGCAAAUAGAAACAUUCUGUUGAAAUGUUUUUUUAAAUGUUUUAUUUUAUUAACUAUUCAAGAAACCAAAGUUAUUUCCUGUGCAAAUUGGAAAUAUUGUAUAUUUAAAGAAUGAUAUUUGCACAUUUUAUGUUAUAUUUUAUAUAGGGACAAGCGGUAGAAAAUGGAUGGAUGGAUACAUAUUUAUAUUUAUUCAAGUUAGGUUAGUUUGCUGGUUUGCAUUAAUGUCAAUUACACAUUUGAGAGAA
This is a long non-coding RNA of Entelurus aequoreus (snake pipefish), 555 nucleotides long. RefSeq lists it as uncharacterized. NCBI's taxonomy places the organism in Eukaryota, Metazoa, Chordata, Actinopteri, Syngnathiformes, Syngnathidae. The transcript is spliced from 3 exons. The record is from RefSeq and is a predicted model, not a curated record.